This 412-nucleotide ribosomal RNA is filed under the name uncultured bacterium. RNAcentral's name for it is "bacterial SSU rRNA". It matches the Rfam family "Bacterial small subunit ribosomal RNA", at positions 917 to 1345 of the family's 1533-position model. The record is from RNAcentral.
GGGCCCGCACAAGCGGUGGAGCAUGUGGUUUAAUUUGAUGCAACGCGAAGAACCUUACCAGGGUUUGACAUGACAGGAAUUUUUCUGAGAAGAGAAAGUGCCUUUUUAGGAACCUGUGCACAGGUGGUGCAUGGCUGUCGUCAGCUCGUGUCGUGAGAUGUUGGGUUAAGUCCCGCAACGAGCGCAACCCUUGUUUUAGUUAUUUUUCUAGAAAGACUGCCGGUUAUAAGCCGGAGGAAGGCGGGGACGACGUCAAGUCAGCAUGCCCCUUACACCCUGGGCUACACACGUGCUACAUUGGAUAAGACAAUGAGUCGCGAACCUGUGAAGGUCAGCAAAUCUAUAAAGCCGGUCUCAGUUCGGAUUGGAGUCUGCAACUCGACUCCAUGAAGUUGGAGUCGCUAGUAAUCCC